RNAcentral lists this unclassified non-coding RNA (1550 nucleotides) under uncultured fungus. RNAcentral's name for it is "sequence contains 18S rRNA gene, ITS1, 5.8S rRNA gene, ITS2, 28S rRNA gene". The stretch from base 624 to 1550 matches the Rfam family "Eukaryotic large subunit ribosomal RNA", at positions 1 to 961 of the family's 3401-position model. Lineage: Eukaryota; Fungi. The record is from RNAcentral.
GGAAGGAUCAUUGAAUCUAUCAAUACCAACACCGUGAACCACUAUUGUUCGGUCCGCUGGAACUGGCUUAACUGCCGGAUCUGGUGCAGACUGGCUGGCGUAACAACCAGUCGGUCUGGACUCGCACUAUUCGUGCGGGUUGGCCCCCCAUACCAACACCAACACCAAACCAAACCUUAUCGAUUGAAAACCAUAUGUAUCUGGCCUAGCCAGUGCAUCCAAACAGAGAUAACUCUCAACAACGGAUAUCUUGGCUCUCGCAACGAUGAAGAACGCAGCGAAAUGCGAUACGUAGUGUGAAUUGCAGAAUUCCGUGAACCAUCGAAUCUUUGAACGCACAUUGCGCCUUAGGCUUCGGCCAAGGGCAUGUCUGCCUCAGCAUCGGGUUUAUAUCGCUCCCCUUCACCCAUUCGGGUAAAGAGAGGCGGAUCUGGCUGUUCCAGCUAUGCAGUCCGAAUCAUUCGUGAUUCGGGCAUCUAUGCACCUGGAUCAGCUGAAGACCAGAGGCUAACCAAGGACCCGAUAAGGGCCGCAACUGGGUGGGCUGUCAAAGGCUAUAUUCUUAGUUGUUGGUCUGGGACUUUGUGUUCGGCCCUCAAACAGGAACCUAUAAACCAUAAUCUCGAUCUGAGCUCAGGCAAGAACACCCGCUGAACUUAAGCAUAUCAAUAAGCGGAGGAAAAGAAACUAACAAGGAUUCCCUUAGUAACGGCGAGUGAAACGGGAAUAGCCCAACUUGAAAAUCUCCCUUUGGAGAAUUGUAGUCUAUAGAAGCGUCCUCUGUGGCGGCCUGAGCCCAAGUCCACUGGAAAGUGGCGUCAGAGAGGGUGAGAACCCCGUCGGCUCUCGGCUUAGCUACUCCACGAGGUGCUUUCCACGAGUCGGGUUGUUUGGGAAUGCAGCCCAAAAUUGGAGGUAAAUCCCUUCUAAGGCUAAAUACUGGCGAGAGACCGAUAGCGAACAAGUACCGUGAGGGAAAGAUGAAAAGAACUUUGAAAAGAGAGUUAAAAAGUGCUUGAAAUUGUUGAGAGGGAAGCGAUUGGAGGGUGUGAGUGCGUCUAGGCUUAUGCGUCUCUAACGAGGCGCUGCAUGUGCUAGAUGCUGGUCAGCAUGGGUUAGUCGGGCGGGAUAACAGCAUGGGUUGAUACCGUGUCUAUGCCGUCUGACUGAUCAAGGUGUGAAUGGCGCUUAGUCCUUCGGGAACUGCGUCAUCAAGAUGCUGGCAGAAGCCCUUCAAUCGGCCCGUCUUGAAACACGGACCAAGGAGUCUAACAUGUAUGCGAGUUGGUGGGUGGAAAACCCAUGAAGCGCAAGUAACCUGACUGGUGGGAUGGCCUGUGCCUGCACCAUCGACCGACCAUGAUCUUCUGUGAAAGGUUUGAGUGCGAGCAUACCUGUUGGGACCCGAAAGAUGGUGAACUAUGCCUGAGCAGGGUGAAGCCAGAGGAAACUCUGGUGGAGGCUCGUAGAUGUGCUGACGUGCAAAUCGCUUUUCGGACUUGGGUAUAGGGGCGAAAGACUAAUCGAACCAUCUAGUAGCUGGUUCCCUC